This 510-nucleotide ribosomal RNA is filed under the name uncultured bacterium. RNAcentral's name for it is "partial 16S ribosomal RNA". It matches the Rfam family "Bacterial small subunit ribosomal RNA", at positions 28 to 507 of the family's 1533-position model. The record is from RNAcentral.
GACGAACGCUGGCGGCGUGCUUAACACAUGCAAGUCGAACGAAGAGCGAUGGAAGCUUGCUUCUAUCAAUCUUAGUGGCGCACGGGUGAGUAACGCGUAAUCAACCUGCCCUUCAGAGGGGGACAACAGUUGGAAACGACUGCUAAUACCGCAUACGAUCUGACCUCGGCAUCGAGGAUAGAUGAAAGGUGGCCUCUACAUGUAAGCUAUCACUGAAGGAGGGGAUUGCGUCUGAUUAGCUAGUUGGAGGGGUAACGGCCCACCAAGGCGAUGAUCAGUAGCCGGUCUGAGAGGAUGAACGGCCACAUUGGGACUGAGACACGGCCCAGACUCCUACGGGAGGCAGCAGUGGGGAAUCUUCCGCAAUGGACGAAAGUCUGACGGAGCAACGCCGCGUGAGUGAUGACGGCCUUCGGGUUGUAAAGCUCUGUUAAUCGGGACGAAAGGCCUUUUUGCGAAUAGUGAGAAGGAUUGACGGUACCGGAAUAGAAAGCCACGGCUAACUACGUG